Molecule: antisense RNA, 75 nt
Filed under: Streptomyces zinciresistens K42
Lineage: Bacteria; Bacillati; Actinomycetota; Actinomycetes; Kitasatosporales; Streptomycetaceae
Description: ASpks TB sRNA
Rfam family: ASpks TB sRNA
Source: Rfam by way of RNAcentral
CUUCACCGAGCCCAUCAGCAACGGCCGUCCCUCGGGGCGCCCUUGGCCGUACGUCGCCAGCACUGCCUGCGCCUC